This 480-nucleotide long non-coding RNA is filed under the name Mytilus galloprovincialis (Mediterranean mussel). Lineage: Eukaryota; Metazoa; Mollusca; Bivalvia; Mytilida; Mytilidae. The record is from RNAcentral.
CCCGUUAUGUCCUCUCACUAUUUUCUAAAGAGCACGGAUUUGAAAUAUAUAAUAUAAACAAACUUCUAAAUGGACACAAUCACACACUCUACUUUUCUCCAUGAUUUACUAAAUAAAAUAUAGUUUGCAUGGUUUGAGAUCAAAGAAGCCAUGCAAGCUUUGGAAAAAAAUCCUUUACAUGUCUUACAAUUCAAACAUCAUUGUUUUCACUCAUUCCAUGCUGACUAAUUAUCUAUAAAAAAAAACUUAUUUGAAUUUUCCCGACUAAUCCACCAGAGACAAUUUAUAAAAUGAUUGUUGAGAUCAAAGACAUCACAAUUCUAACUGAUGUACUUAGGUGAGGUUUUGGAAUUUGUGUCAAAUGGUCGGACUCCUUGAUGAUACAAGGUAAAAUAUUUUGUUCAUUAAAUUUCUGACAUAUUCGAAAGUAAGUUAAAAAAAAAUUAAAGGGAUUUUUAAAUUAGAAUAUCAGUUUUAAUA